Molecule: transfer RNA, 83 nt
Filed under: Schistocephalus solidus
Lineage: Eukaryota; Metazoa; Platyhelminthes; Cestoda; Diphyllobothriidea; Diphyllobothriidae
Rfam family: tRNA
About the family: Transfer RNA (tRNA) molecules are approximately 80 nucleotides in length. Their secondary structure includes four short double-helical elements and three loops (D, anti-codon, and T loops). Further hydrogen bonds mediate the characteristic L-shaped molecular structure. tRNAs have two regions of fundamental functional importance: the anti-codon, which is responsible for specific mRNA codon recognition, and the 3' end, to which the tRNAs corresponding amino acid is attached (by aminoacyl-tRNA synthetases). tRNAs cope with the degeneracy of the genetic code in two manners: having more than one tRNA (with a specific anti-codon) for a particular amino acid; and 'wobble' base-pairing, i.e. permitting non-standard base-pairing at the 3rd anti-codon position.
Source: Rfam by way of RNAcentral
GACCUCGUAGCUCAAGAGGCUAGAGCGUUGGCUGUACUAAAGCGUUCACCUUGCUGGCGUGGGUUGGAAUCCCACCGACGUCG